AACGAACGCUGGCGGCAGGCCUAACACAUGCAAGUCGAGCGCCCCGCAAGGGGAGCGGCGGACGGGUGAGUAACGCGUGGGAACGUACCCUUUGCUACGGAAUAGCCUCGGGAAACUGGGAGUAAUACCGUAUGUGCCCUUCGGGGAAAGAUUUAUCGGCAAAGGAUCGGCCCGCGUUGGAUUAGGUAGUUGGUGGGGUAAUGGCCUACCAAGCCGACGAUCCAUAGCUGGUUUGAGAGGAUGAUCAGCCACACUGGGACUGAGACACGGCCCAGACUCCUACGGGAGGCAGCAGUGGGGAAUCUUAGACAAUGGGCGCAAGCCUGAUCCAGCAAUGCCGCGUGUGUGAAGAAGGCCUGCGGGUUGUAAAGCACUUUCAGUGGGGAAGAACAGAUUCGGGUCAAUACCCCGGAGCCCUGACGUUACCCACAGAAGAAGCACCGGCUAACUCCGUG
This 455-nucleotide ribosomal RNA is filed under the name uncultured bacterium. RNAcentral describes it as "bacterial SSU rRNA". It matches the Rfam family "Bacterial small subunit ribosomal RNA", at positions 29 to 507 of the family's 1533-position model. The record is from RNAcentral.